CCUUGACAUACUAAGAACUUUCCAGAGAUGGAUUGGUGCCUUCGGGAACUUAGAUACAGGUGCUGCAUGGCUGUCGUCAGCUCGUGUCGUGAGAUGUUGGGUUAAGUCCCGCAACGAGCGCAACCCUUUUCCUUAUUUGCCAGCGGGUCAUGCCGGGAACUUUAAGGAUACUGCCAGUGACAAACUGGAGGAAGGCGGGGACGACGUCAAGUCAUCAUGGCCCUUACGGCCAGGGCUACACACGUGCUACAAUGGUCGGUACAAAGGGUUGCUACCUCGCGAGAGGAUGCUAAUCUCAAAAAGCCGAUCGUAGUCCGGAUCGCAGUCUGCAACUCGACUGCGUGAAGUCGGAAUCGCUAGUAAUCGCGGAUCAGAAUGCCGCGGUGAAUACGUUCCCGGGCCUUGUACACACCGCCCGUCACACCAUGGGAGUUUGUUGCACCAGAAGUAGGUAGUCUAACCGCAAGGAGGACGCUUACCACGGCGUGGCCGAUGACUGGGGUGAAGUCGUAACAAGGUAAGCGUAGAUGA
This 531-nucleotide ribosomal RNA is filed under the name uncultured bacterium. Its description in RNAcentral is "bacterial SSU rRNA". It matches the Rfam family "Bacterial small subunit ribosomal RNA", at positions 979 to 1509 of the family's 1533-position model. The record is from RNAcentral.